Molecule: ribosomal RNA, 233 nt
Filed under: uncultured bacterium
Lineage: Bacteria
Description: partial 16S ribosomal RNA
Rfam family: Bacterial small subunit ribosomal RNA
Source: RNAcentral
CGGGUGAGUAACACGUGGGUAACCUGCCUCAGACUGGGGGAUAGCCUUCCGAAAGGAAGAUUAAUACCGCAUAACAUAGUUUAACCGCAUGGUUAGAUUAUCAAAGGAGUAAUCCGGUUUGAGAUGGACCCGCGGCGCAUUAGCUAGUUGGUGAGGUAACGGCUCACCAAGGCGACGAUGCGUAGCCGACCUGAGAGGGUGAUCGGCCACAUUGGAACUGAGAUACGGUCCAA